GAAAACUAAAAUGUACAUAAGCAUUUUUGGAUUUUUAUGGUAACAACAAAGAUCAUUGUAAUGUCAUCUGAAUUCACCACCAGAAUGAGAAACAAAUUUGGAAUUACCAGUAUGGUUCGUGACAGCUUUCUGAAGAAACCUUUUUGCAAGUUUUGUGAAGAAACCUUCAUAGGAAGCAGGCCACAUAUGAAGACCAGUGUUUUCUUGAGUGGGAGGAAUGUGUGCAUGUGUUUUUGGUAAACAAGAAUUUCAUAGAUCUCUUGGAAAUACCUGGAACAGAUCUAACUUCCACUAUUGGCCCAUCACAGACCAGCGUGACACCCUCUUCAUUAAUAACUGCUUCUUACAUGACUCUUGAAGUUUUCCAUAGUUUCUUACAGUUUUCCAUAGUUGCUCCUAUGGGAAUAAAUGAAUCAACAUUGCAUUUAUAAAAACAAAACCAGAGUAUGAUAAAAUAGAGCUGUUGUAAUGGAACGCAUUACAACAUUACACGGAUUAGUUUGCAUGCUUAAAAUAUUAACCUGCUAUAGAAAAUAUUGAGGGAAGAGAGGAGAGGGGAGGUAAAUCUGGUAAUUUUUCAAAAUAUUUUUCUCAAUAAUAAUAAUGAAAAAUACUGUAGGUAACUUAAGGAGUUGCCCAAUUUAGUAUGUAAGUAUAAAAAAAUGACACAAAAUAGACAUGUUUUUCUAUGUCCAAAGGAAAUUGUUGACUGACUAACAAUUUCUGUAGCUGUAGUUAGUUUUAAGUACAGUUAAAGCAAAAAACCGGCAACCUACAUCUUGAGUGCUUAAUACUACUUUUCAAAAAAAACAAGAAAAAAUUUUUAUCCUGCCAUUUUGUUAGAUCAAGUACAACUGAGAAAAUAGAUUUUGUUAUUAAAAAAAGGUCCUUUAAUUAUAUUUGAUUGAUACAAUUAUUAUCAAAGUUUUGAUAGGAUUUGGAUUUUUGUUCCUAUACUUGAUAGGAAUUUAUAAAUCAUGAAUUUUAUGUAAAAUAAAAUAAUUACAAAUUAGACUGAAUUCUUGCCCAUAUAUUUAACACAUUUGCUUGUAUUUAGAAAUAUUUAAAUUCAAGGGACUAAAGUUUUUGUCAGAUGACUAAUACUUAGAGGAUUCUACAGCUCACAAUUUAACAGAAAUGUUAACAUUAGAAAGUAAUUCCACUUAAGCUCAUUUUAAAAACACAGACCUGGGUUUCCAUUUUGACCUCCUUUACUCAUGUAAUCUUCAGUAUAUCACUACUGGAGACAUGUGACCUACUGAAUUUCACAUUUUUUAGAAGAUUAUAAAGACUCUAAAGUAUAAUGUAUAAAAGUACUAAUUUUACAAAUCAGUGACUACAGUGUAUUUGUUUACAAUAGAUAGUACAUUAAAAGUACAUAGUACUUGAUCUUCAUGCCAAGAAGUGUUCAAUAGCCAUAUAUUCUAUAUUAUUUCCAUCGGUAGGAGGCCCUGAUUUGUCCACUGAACUGUAAAAGGACACAUUUCAGAUUGUUUAGCUUCUCAUGUCUUCCUUCUCCUCUUUGAAAGAGAAUUUCCAAAGACCAGACAAGAUCAAGUUGUUAUUAAUUCAUCUAACUUUCUUGAAGUUAUUUGCCUGUGAUUUUAUUUUUGUUCAAUACUAAGACUGAAUUAUUCUUCCUUUUGACUUCAAAUACAUAUAUAUAUAUUCAAUAUAUAUUUGUAAAAUUGCCUUCCAUCAGCUCACGUGUCUUCUGUUUCUUAGUGAAAGAAACAGCAAGAGUUAACUGAGAUAUCUGGGCCUGGUGAGAAGGUGAGAAAGUCCUCCCUAACAUCUACUCUGGUUGUGCUGCUAAGACUCGUUCUGUUGUGUUCACUGGAUCAAAAAAGUAGAAGAAUACUAGAAGCAGUAUACAAUAAGCCUAGGGGUAAUAAAUUAAGAUAAAGUACGAUAAGGUAGGAUAAGGUAGACAUUUGAAUAGGAGAAACAGGCCUAGGCUGAAAGUGAAGGUUUUCUCCAAGCUUCAGUAAUCGGGGCAAGAACAAUAGAAAGGUAGAGAGGUCAGAGCAAGAAAGAUGAGAAAAAGAUCCUCAACUUGAAGGAAAAGGCCCGAUGUACCCACGAAACUGAGUGUCAAAAGAAGCACCGCCCUAAGCCCCGCCUAGAC
Corapipo altera (White-ruffed manakin) is the source of this 2128-nucleotide long non-coding RNA. RefSeq lists it as uncharacterized. Lineage: Eukaryota; Metazoa; Chordata; Aves; Passeriformes; Pipridae. The transcript is spliced from 3 exons. The record is from RefSeq and is a predicted model, not a curated record.